Molecule: long non-coding RNA, 3480 nt
Filed under: Mus musculus (house mouse)
Lineage: Eukaryota; Metazoa; Chordata; Mammalia; Rodentia; Muridae
Description: long non-coding RNA chr10:127266295-127269775
Source: RNAcentral
AGGGGUGUGGUAGCCGGCUGUCCUCGCGACUUUUGCUGUCCCCCGCCUCCUGCCGGCCUGCUCCUGUCGCGAGACUUCCUGCUCCUCCGCCGCUCCCCUUAUCGUCGCCUUUGCUGGGGACCCGGACCCAGCCUCUCCCCCACUCGGUCACCAGCCCCGGCUCCUCCGAGGCCUCGGUCCCCCAGCCCCGCCUCGCCGCCGCCAUGGCGGACCCUAAAUACGCCGAUCUCCCCGGCAUUGUGAGUACAGGGCCGGGCCCGGCUCCCCAGACCGCGCCCCCGACCUCCCGAGGACCCCCAACAGAAGCCAGCCCGCGACCCCUCCCGCUGGCAGCCCCCUAGCCCCAAGGGUCCCCGCCGCUCGCCCUUCGACGGCCGCAGCACCUUCUGGACUCCAGACCCGACUGGGCCGGGCCGUUGGACCGCGUCGGGCCCUUUUUCUGGCAGUAGCCGGUUUCUCCGCCCAGAAAUCGCCUCCGGGCGCUUACCACUUGAGCCCGAAUGUCUGUACCGUCCAUGUCAACAGUGCCCUUGUCGCCCCAAAUUUCCCGAUUGCCCGCCCCCGCACCCUGACUCCAGCCGAACUCACCAGGCCACUUGGUGGCCUUCAUCUUGCCAGGGAAGAGGUUACUGUUGCAGAAACCUUGUGCCAGUGGGGAGCUCUGUGCAUUGCGAGCACCUGUGUGCUUGCUCCUCAUGCACAAGCCGGCAUGUACCCUCCGUUGAUGCUGUCCUCUCUGCAUUCUCAGGGUUGGGGGCGGGGGGUUGGCACACCGGACCUUGAGAACUAAGGUCCUGAGUCACUCUCAACCCUUGUACAGUGAUGUGCAGGGCCUAACUCAAGAAACCCUCACCAGAUUAGGACAAGAUAAUUACCAAGGACUGGCCUCUCAGCCAUGUUCAGGGUAGCAUCUUUCUUUCACUAUGGACGUUUUAUCCCAGAUCCCAGUUUGUACCUGUGGUCAUCCCACUGGAUGAAACGGACAUAGAGUUGACAGGGGAGGUGGAGGGCGGAAUCCUUGAAUGACAGUCAGGUUUUGCAAUGCCUUGUUCAAAGGAAAUGGGAUAAGGGAUGAAUGCUGGGUAAUGAGUCUGGGUGGUCACCGCUUCUCCCUGCAGGCCAGGAAUGAGCCAGACGUUUAUGAAACCAGCGACCUACCUGAGGAUGAUCAAGCAGAGUUUGAUGCGGUAAGACUGUGUGCUACCUCAGGAUCCCUCUGGACUCUGACCUUUCUCCCCAGAUGCAGGUCCUUUUCCUUCUCUGGCAAGCCACAACAAUAAGUGGGUAUGCCAACCCCAGCCUGGGUGGUGUGGAGGUCUCAGGGCUUUCAAAGGCCUUGCCCAGCAGCUGGCAGCCACCAAUGAACAAUGCCAGAAAGGAGAGUCGAGCCAGUGAGAUUACAACUAACAAGACCUGUAAAACCCAAGUCUUAUUAAAUACAAUUGAGAUAUCUCAAAGCAGUUACAUUCUGGACUAGUGAUUAGUUAGGCCCCAGGGUCUAAUCUGUGCAUUGAAUUAUAAAGCUUGAACAUAGUAAAUCGUUUAAGGUUGGAGUAGACAUUUUUUUUUAAAGAUUUAUUUUGUUUAUAUGAGUACACUGUAGCUGUCUUCAGACACACUAGAAGAGAGCAUCAGAUUCUAUUUCAGAUGGUUGUGAGCCACCAUGUGGUUGCUGGGAAUUAAACUCAGGACCUCUGAAAGAGCAGCCAGAUGCUCUUAACUGCUGAGCCAUCUCUCCAGUCCGACCUUUUUUAUUUUAUAAGAUAUUUCACUCAUUAAAUUAAGUUCUCAUUAGUAUUUAGCAAGAACUUGAAUUUGAACUGUAGCAGCCAUUAGGGAAGGUGGAAGCAAAUGACUUGGAAAUGUCAGAAAACCACACGCGUGGUCAGACCAAGAUCAUUUUGGGGAAUAACAUAAAUACUGUAAUCAGCCGAGAAAAGACGAUAGUAAUAUAUUAAGCCUGCUCUGUGUGCUCUAAGGAGUCGGGGGCGGGGCACACACUUUAACCAGGAAUUUAUUGCAGAGGAAGAGAUGCCCUAAAGGAGCCCUUUUACAUGACUGUUAGACUGUGUACAGGAAGUAUAGGAGUUAGCAUACGUAUAGGUAACAUAAGAGAAAGCCCAGGGUGAAUGAACAGCAGUCAGUACAGUCCUGGGGGUACAGAGGUCCAGCGAUGGCCUCUAUAGAUUGUGUUUUAUUAGCUCCACAGCAAACUGGGCUGAGCUAGGCUGGGCUCUCACUGAUGCUAGGAGAUCUCAGUGGAGGCGUGGCCAAAGUCAUGGGGACCUUGUCAGCAGGCCCAGUGUGUGUGUCUGUCAGUCCUGUGGCCGUGUCUGUGGGGCUGGUUAGUUGUGAGGAAUGUUGGCAGCUGCCUUACACUGGCAUGGCUUGGCGUGCUCACUUAUUCCUUAUCUUGUUCUCCCGUGUGGAAGUGCUUCCUACACAGUGGGAAUAACUUCCUGUCCCUUCCCUCCACAGUGUGCUCCUGGUGGCUUCUGUAUCUGCUGGCAUGUCAGUCUGCCGAUCCCUCUUCCCACAAAGCUUAUUACCUGGGGAUAAUGCAGAUGGUGUCUGAGUGUGACACUGUCACUCCAAGAGGUGUCUCAGUUAACUCUGUCCUCAGAGCAGGAGAUGAGGAGUUAGCUCAGGGAUGCCUCAGAACCUCAGCCUGUAAAAUACCAAGCUUGCAGAGAGAGGAUAAGACUGUUGGCUGGUCACUGUGAUGUAGACAGACAGUGGAUACCGUGACUGCAGCUCCUCCCAUCGUCGUGUCUCAGCCAGCUUGUCAGAGAGGAGCGUGUGUGGAGACAGACCCUCAGCGCAUCAGAAGCCCUGAGAGCUAAGUUACUUCCUGAUGUCAGCUAAUGUCUCUGGCUCCUCCAUGUCCCUAUGGGCCUUAGGAAGGCCGUGUUCGGGAAGUCAGCUGCACAUAACGGCUCUGCUGCUGCCCAUAAUGCUGACGUAAAUGUGCAGCCUGAGGAGCAUCGCCAACCCAGAGGCACUGUGGCUCUGAGGCCUGGAUGCUGGCUGGGAGCCUGUCCGUGUCUCAUCUGCGGCUGGACCAGUCACUGCAGGAACCUCUAAAUUGUUUUCAACUUUAAUUUUAUUUGUUUUCAAAUUAAGUCAUAAAUAUUUGUGGGGGGAAAAAUCUGUUUAAGGCUGUGUAGUGAAAAAGUCCCCACUUGUACUGCCCCUCAGUUCUGUUCCCUGGGGACAACCAAUAUGGCCAAAUUGUAAAUAAUUUUAAGGGUCUGCAAAUGUUUAUUUUUUAUUUUAUUUUUGAAACAGGCUCUCACUUGUAUUGCCCUGUCUGGCCUAGAACUACCUAUGUAGUUUUAUGUAGCACAGGCUGGCCAAGUGCUAGGACUUAAGACAUUUGCCACCACACCUAAUUUCCAGGUGUUACUCUAAAGGAAUAUCAAGUAGAAUGGCCCAGUGGCCCUUCAGUGUCUUUAAUCUUCCUUUGAUUUCUCUACUGCC